UACGUAGGGUGCAAGCGUUGUCCGGAAUUAUUGGGCGUAAAGAGCUCGUAGGCGGCUUGUCGCGUCGGCUGUGAAAACCUGGGGCUCAACCCCGGGCCUGCAGCCGAUACGGGCAAGCGUAGAAUUCGGUAGGGGGAGACUGGAAUUCCUGGUGUAGCGGUGAAAUGCGCAGACUAUCAGGAGGAACACCGGUGGCGAAGGCGGGUCUCUGGGCCGAAAUUGACGCUGAGGAGCGAAAGCGUGGGGAGCAAACAGG
Molecule: ribosomal RNA, 256 nt
Filed under: uncultured bacterium
Lineage: Bacteria
Description: partial 16S ribosomal RNA
Rfam family: Bacterial small subunit ribosomal RNA
Source: RNAcentral